CUUGAGUGCAGAAGAGGACAGUGGAACUCCAUGUGUAGCGGUGAAAUGCGUAGAUAUAUGGAAGAACACCAGUGGCGAAGGCGGCUGUCUGGUCUGUAACUGACGCUGAGGCUCGAAAGUAUGGGUAGCAAACAGGAUUAGAUACCCUGGUAGUCCAUACCGUAAACGAUGAAUGCUAAGUGUUGGAGGGUUUCCGCCCUUCAGUGCUGCAGCUAACGCAUUAAGCAUUCCGCCUGGGGAGUACGGCCGCAAGGCUGAAACUCAAAGGAAUUGACGGGGGCCCGCACAAGCGGUGGAGCAUGUGGUUUAAUUCGAAGCUACGCGAAGAACCUUACCAGGUCUUGACAUACUAUGCAAAUCUAAGAGAUUAGACGUUCCCUUCGGGGACAUGGAUACAGGUGGUGCAUGGUUGUCGUCAGCUCGUGUCGUGAGAUGUUGGGUUAAGUCCCGCAACAAGCGCAACCCUUAUUAUCAGUUGCCAGCAUUAAGUUGGGCACUCUGGUGAGACUGCCGGUGACAAACCGGAGGAAGGUGGGGAUGACGUCAAAUCAUCAUGCCCCUUAUGACCUGGGCUACACACGUGCUACAAUGGAUGGUACAACGAGUUGCGAACUCGCGAGAGUAAGCUAAUCUCUUAAAGUCAUUCUCAGUUCGGAUUGUAGGCUGCAACUCGCCUACAUGAAGUCGGAAUCGCUAGUAAUCGCGGAUCAGCAUGCCGCGGUGAAUACGUUCCCGGGCCUUGUACACACCGCCCGUCACACCAUGAGAGUUUGUAACACCCAAAGUCGGUGGGGUAACCUUUUAGGAACCAGCCGCCUAAGGUGGGACAGAUGAUUAGGGUGAAGUCGUAACAAGGUAACC
RNAcentral lists this ribosomal RNA (861 nucleotides) under uncultured bacterium. RNAcentral describes it as "bacterial SSU rRNA". It matches the Rfam family "Bacterial small subunit ribosomal RNA", at positions 641 to 1501 of the family's 1533-position model. The record is from RNAcentral.